RNAcentral lists this long non-coding RNA (474 nucleotides) under Bos taurus (domestic cattle). Its description in RNAcentral is "long non-coding RNA NONBTAT025816". Lineage: Eukaryota; Metazoa; Chordata; Mammalia; Artiodactyla; Bovidae. The record is from RNAcentral.
CUCUUAUUGAUAGCACUGAAAGAAUUACUACAGAAUUCUUUUCAAAUUUAAUCCAGUAUCUUUUUAUAUCUACCCCAUUUAUCCUAGAAAUCUAAUAUGUUCACGAGUCUACAAUCACUAAACAAGAGAAUGAAUGACGAUAAGCUAACUGUUAGUGCUAAUAAACAAUCUGCAAUUUACUUCGACCAGAAGAAACACUAGUGAAACACUAGUAAUAAGUAAAUUUAAAAUACUAGUAAAUACUAGCUUUUUAAAAAAUGUCCAACAAUCAUGGUACCCAAUGUAUUAAUAUUUGUCAUAUGGCUGUAAGAUCAAGACAACAUAUAUCAUUAAAUUUAAUCACUUAAGUAAUACUAAUAAAUUACUAUUACUCUUAAUUUUGGGACUAUACAUGUAGGUACAUACACACAUGUAUCUGUUCUAACAACGUAUUACUCACGAGAAAACUGGGCAUGUCCCAGGCUUUCCUCUAAA